GUUGUUGUGGCCGAGAGGUUAAGGCGAUGGACUUGAAAUCCCAUUGGGGUCUCCCCGCGCAGGUUCGAGUCCUGCCAGCAACG
Molecule: transfer RNA, 83 nt
Organism: Gasterosteus aculeatus (three-spined stickleback)
Lineage: Eukaryota; Metazoa; Chordata; Actinopteri; Perciformes; Gasterosteidae
Rfam family: tRNA
About the family: Transfer RNA (tRNA) molecules are approximately 80 nucleotides in length. Their secondary structure includes four short double-helical elements and three loops (D, anti-codon, and T loops).
Source: Rfam